CACUGGGCCAGAAGGGGUUAAUGGGCUCAUUCAGCCUUGUCCUACUACACCUGCAGUAGGCAUUAAGCCUGAAUAGAGGCCCUGCAAGGGCUGAAGCUAGCUCAGGCUGGGGCUGACCAGGAAGGAGAAGUGAUGGCUAGUUGGCCCUCAGUGAGAGGAGUCUGGCUGGCGCCACUGUCUGGAGCUGGUCCACUGGUAGACAGCAUCCCUGGUGGAAGAGAUACCAAGGGUUGCUGCCCCAGAGAAUGAGAUUUAUGGCCCCAAAGAGAGAUGCAAGACCAAAGUGUGAGACUUUUCAGAUGUGCUGAGAACCUGCAGCUUCUGUUGCUCCAACUGGAGUUGUUAGCGAUCAGGAGCACCUACAGACCCAAGCAAUUUCAAUUGGAUAGUGAAUUCUUCACUUCCUGUCAAAGCUUUGGGCAGCAGUUCUGUGCCGUGUCUGUCAAGCUGAUGCAUUCCACCCAGAGCUAAAGGGGAAACAAAUGCCAGCAGUCCCAUGCUCAUGAGCAACCCUAUAAUAAACUGAGUGCGUAGCCCGUCAUUCAUGAAAAGUCCCACAGGGAGUGCAACUUAGCAAGUGUGAAAGCCCUGCAUGAAAUCAGCAUAGUCAUAAUGGAAGAAAAGAAAAAAAUCCAUGAGAAAACAGAUGGUAAACCUUUGCUUCUAAUGAACGAUUACAAAUAAGCAGUGGAAGAAAAAUUACUUGGAAAACACGAGGCUAAAUUGUAUGCUGCCAUAAUGCCACUGAAGAUGGAACUACCCUGCCAGAGAAGGCAGCCUACUUGGUAAGUUUCAGGUGAAGGAUUUAUUUUCCAGCUGACCAUUCUCUUGCUCACUUCCCCUUUCACUGAUCAGUGAUUCCCCCAGUGAUACAGAGAGUACAGAGAAGCAGCAAUUCACAGAAGUGAUACUUUGCAGAGUACUAUUAAAUGACUGCAUUUUGCAAAUGACAGUGACAUUUCACAAACUGUCCCUGCCAGAAAAAAAAAUCUAUAUGUUAGAUGCGCCACAAGAC
Chelonia mydas (Green sea turtle) is the source of this 1015-nucleotide long non-coding RNA. RefSeq lists it as uncharacterized. The transcript has 5 exons. NCBI's taxonomy places the organism in Eukaryota, Metazoa, Chordata, Testudines, Cheloniidae. The record is from RefSeq and is a predicted model, not a curated record.